This 253-nucleotide ribosomal RNA is filed under the name uncultured bacterium. Its description in RNAcentral is "partial 16S ribosomal RNA". It matches the Rfam family "Bacterial small subunit ribosomal RNA", at positions 524 to 776 of the family's 1533-position model. The record is from RNAcentral.
UACGGAGGGGGCUAGCGUUGUUCGGAAUUACUGGGCGUAAAGCGCACGUAGGCGGCUUUGUAAGUUAGAGGUGAAAGCCCGGGGCUCAACUCCGGAAUUGCCUUUAAGACUGCAUCGCUAGAAUUGUGGAGAGGUAAGUGGAAUUCCGAGUGUAGAGGUGAAAUUCGUAGAUAUUCGGAAGAACACCAGUGGCGAAGGCGACUUACUGGACACAUAUUGACGCUGAGGCACGAAAGCGUGGGGAGCAAACAGG